UACGGAGGGUGCAAGCGUUGUUCGGAAUUAUUGGGCGUAAAGCGCGUGUAGGCGGUUUCUUAAGUCUGAUGUGAAAGCCCCGGGCUCAACCUGGGAAGUGCAUUGGAUACUGGGAAACUUGAGUACGGGAGAGGGUAGUGGAAUUCCCAGUGUAGGAGUGAAAUCCGUAGAUAUUGGGAGGAACACCGGUGGCGAAGGCGGCUACCUGGACCGAUACUGACGCUGAGACGCGAAAGCGUGGGGAGCAAACAGG
Molecule: ribosomal RNA, 253 nt
Filed under: uncultured bacterium
Lineage: Bacteria
Description: partial 16S ribosomal RNA
Rfam family: Bacterial small subunit ribosomal RNA
Source: RNAcentral